GCAGCAUGAGAGAAAAGAGCCUGAACGCGUGUCCGUCCAUUUCUCUCCAGCCCAGCUGCCAUUGAGCUGGACCUGGGCAGGGUCUGGGUCUCUGCUGGAAGAAAGAGGUCUGGCAUAAGUGCUGAGCAUAGGCACAAGCACUGUCUGCCCUGUUAUUGUCCACGCACUGAAGAAUAUUCGCUCCUCUAUAAAGGGAAGAUUAAGAGGUGGGCAGAACGCUGCACAAACACCGAAACAUUUAUGAACACAGACACCAGCUACUAAUAACCUUUGCAUGCAAGGACGGGCUCUCUACAAGCCUCAUAUUGGUUAGAAGUAAACUGCAACACGACUUACCCAAAGUGCUCUUGGCCUUAACGGGAGCAACCUUGCGGACAGGUAGGGUGUUGGAGAAGGUCCCGGCGCCUUGUCUGUGGACCUGUGGGGAUGGUCUUUCAUGUGCG
Molecule: non-coding RNA, 443 nt
Organism: Misgurnus anguillicaudatus (oriental weatherfish)
Lineage: Eukaryota; Metazoa; Chordata; Actinopteri; Cypriniformes; Cobitidae
Source: RefSeq, a predicted model, not a curated record